AUACGGAGGGUGCAAGCGUUGUUCGGAAUUACUGGGCGUAAAGGGCGCGCAGGCGGCCUGCCAAGUCAGAUGUGAAAUGCCAUGGCUUAACCAUGGACGUGCAUUUGAAACUGGUGGGCUUGAGUACCAGAGGGGAAGGUGGAAUUCCCGGUGUAGAGGUGAAAUUCGUAGAUAUCGGGAGGAAUACCGGUGGCGAAGGCGACUUUCUGGCUGGAUACUGACGCUGAGGCGCGAAAGCGUGGGGAGCAAACAGGAUUAGAUACCCUGGUAGUCCACGCUGUAAACGAUGUGAACUAGAUGCAGGGGGUGUUGAUCCCCUCUGUGUCGCAGCUAACGCAUUAAGUUCACCGCCUGGGGAGUACGGUCGCAAGAUUAAA
RNAcentral lists this ribosomal RNA (377 nucleotides) under uncultured bacterium. Its description in RNAcentral is "bacterial SSU rRNA". It matches the Rfam family "Bacterial small subunit ribosomal RNA", at positions 523 to 898 of the family's 1533-position model. The record is from RNAcentral.